Molecule: long non-coding RNA, 3107 nt
Organism: Peromyscus californicus insignis
Lineage: Eukaryota; Metazoa; Chordata; Mammalia; Rodentia; Cricetidae
Exons: 3
Source: RefSeq, a predicted model, not a curated record
GGAAGCCAGCGGGCUGAGGCCUUUGUGAGGGCCUUCCUGAAGCAGAGCAUACCUCACUGGAGCCAGCAAGACUGUGAGAGCCAUCUGCAACGCAAGGCUGUGGUCUUGGAAUACUUGUCAGAAGCCAAAGCAGCAGCAGAAGAAAUACAAAGGCCUCACUGCCAAACAGAGGAGAGACAUGAGGCUCUUUGACAUUAACCCAGAGCAACAGAGCAAAUAUACAACGUUUUGGUGCGACAUUGUCAUGGUGCUUGAAGAAGGACAGAGGAUCCUGACACUUUUAAGAAGUGGAAGAAGUUCACUCUCUGGAAAAUUUCCAAAGUGCACCUUUCUUUGGGACAGAAUGUGCUCUGCAGCCCCGUGAGCCUGUGCUGAGGAAUACCACGCCCUUAGCAUGAAAUGUGUGCAACUUCUCCAGGGUCUCCACCCCAGCUGUGAGUUCAGCAUGGCUCUUUCCAUGAGAUUCCAGCACUUGUUGCCUAGCAGCUCAUGGACAGUGUCUACCCCUACCUACCAGCUGACAUGACCAUGGUGACAGCAUUGACUGACCAGGGACAGAAGCCUACAUUGGCACUCUCCCAUCCAGGUGUUCUCCAGUGGUAUCCCAGAGGAAGCACUUACAGGAGGGAAGCUGUGUGGUGAUAUUGUAUUUGUGCUGAAAUGUGAUAUUUUAUUUGUAUGUUAAUAAAUGAAGUUUGCCUGGAGAUCAGAGGUCAUAGACAGCCAUAAACAGAAGUCAGGCAGUUGUGGCACAUGCCUUAAACUGAUCACAAGCAGACAGUCUCUAUGUGUUCAAGGACAUAGCCAAGCAUGGUGGCACAUGCCUUUAAUCCCACUACCAACCAUAGAGAACUGGAGGUCUGUAUAUAGAGGCAGUGAUGAGGAAGUGAGGUGGCUGGGUUAAGAGCCAAUGAAAAGGCAAAACAGCAAGGCAAUAAACAUACAGGUUACACAGGAAAAGGAUCUCUUGGGAAGCUAUGGCGACGUAGUGAGCUAAGGUUAGUUGGUGGCUAUCACUCUGCUCUCUAUGGAUUUUACCCCUGUAUUUGGCACUGUGUUUCUUAUUUAAUAAGACUGUUUAGAAAUUUGUCUACAUUUGGCACCCAACAUGGGGCCAUGUUGAGUCUCAUGACCAUGAUCAUAUGUGGAUAAGAGAAGCAAUUACAAAAGUUUUGAGGAAACAUGUCAUAUGUUUUGGGUGUGGAAAAGAAGGUCAUUUGAAAAGGGAAUAUAAACAAGGCAUUCCUAGAAAGAAGGUUUAUUCAAGGAACAAUGGCAACAGAAUAUCCCUCCCUUCAGGAUUAUGCAGAAGGUGCGGUAAGGGUAAACAUUGGACCAAUGAAUGCAGAUCAACAAGGGACAGACAAGGUAAUCCUUUGCCUCAGUCCUCAGAAAACUCCCAGAGGGCCCUCAUGCAGGCCCCCACAGAAAAUUCACUUCUGACCUUUCCUGCCAUCAUAGAAGAAACCCCUUCUCAGAGCAAUUUAAUAACCAAAUGCUUAUUGCAAUAAACCAGGCUGCUUGGGGUGAUAGAACAGUUGAGGCAGAGAGAAUAGAAAAUUCAGGAGAAACCAUGAAGCAAAUUUUUUGGCACAAUUUUAUAAAUGAACAAAGACCAAUAUUAAAAAUAGGAAUAAAUGACAUUUUUGGAUGGUUUGGUAGACACAGGUGCAGAUGUGACAAUAAUUGCACCAGAAUUUUGACAUCCAAAUUGGCUGCUUGAGGAGGUAAAUAUUCAGCUGUUAGAGAUUGGAUCAUUAUCUCAAGUGAAACAAAGCACAAGAUAGCUUGAAUGUAUAUGUCCAGAAGGACAGAUAGGAAAAUUAAAACCAUAUGUGGCUAAUAUAGCUAUGAAUUUUUGGGGCCGUGAUCUAUUAUAAAAUGAAAUACUUAGAUUAACACUCUUCCAAAAACAGGACAGGGAAUGUUCACCAGGAAAAACUGAGUAGUUACUAAGUGUCUGUAAACCGAGGUGGUACCAUUGCUACUCAAGCAUAGCUCAUAGGAUUGCCUGGCCCACUAUUGAAGGAACCUGAGUGCUGAGGUGCAUUGAAAGGAGGGGAUCAUCUCACUUACCAGGCACUGACUCCUUCCUUGGAUCUUUGCCAGUGGUGGAAAUGGAGACAGCCUGAGGAUUGACACCUUCAGGCCUGAAACUCCGUCUGCUACAGAGUCCUGACUGCUGCAAUGUCUGCACCCAGGAUACCCAGAUGAAGAUACCAUCUGUUGAUGGGGACAGGUCAUUAACUGCCCUUAUUCACAGUCCUUCAGAAUUCCUUCUUUGCCUCCAGCUCCAAGCCUGGAACAAACAGAAAAUAACAAUGUGGAAGAGAUGACUGCUGAGCAAUCAAAGCUGCUGAAUGCCUAUGAGGGCAGUACAGAAAACCAAGAUUCAUCCCUCCUCCGUUUAGCACACCCAGACAUGCAGUAGCCCCUGAACUACAUUGAUGAUGGGAGACUAAGGCAGAACCCAGCUUCUGAUAAUGCCAUCUUGGGAAGCAAUAGCCUUGGUCUAGGAGAGCCUGGGUCUUUGUAGAGUGUCAUGGUCUCAAGCAUUGACUUGGAAGACAAGACUACAGUGCUGUCAGAUAUUCAACUUCCUCAACUCUUAAACUCCCUCACUGACCUAGACUACUGGGAAAAUCCCACAGGAAUCCAUUCGAAAGACUCCACAGUCAUCAGGAGGAAUAAGUUUCAAGAACGCUCCAGGAUCAUAGAACUCUCUGAACAGGUAAGCAAGAAAGAAAUUAUCUCAUCUGCUUCAUGGAUCUCUUCAGGCCCAAAUCCAGCACCAGGACCUUGUGGAGGGUAGAGAGGCUGGGCCCAAUGCUGCGGCUAGUGAAGGGUUUAUUGACAACAUGAACAACAAACAUUUGGAAGGCAAAGCUCAGGAAGCCACACCCAGCCGGCCCAGGAUAACUAGGGUACAGGGGCAAGAUGGGACUAAGAGGACUAGGGAAAACAAUUUCAGCAAAAUACAGCAGCUGAAGCCAUCAAGUCACAGAGUCAAGACACAAGAGAAACUCACCAUCCCCAAGACCAAGAGGAAGAAAUUAUACAUGAGCUCAGCCAUGACAGAUUUAAAAAGCCUCGAACUCACCUCGGAA